UCGCACGAGAAAGGGGGCUUCGGUCCCUGAGUACAGUGGCGCACGGGUGAGUAACACGUGGAUCAUCUACCUUCGAGUGGGGAAUAACUGAGAGAAAUCUUAGCUAAUACCGCAUAAUACCUACGGGUCAAAGCAGCAAUGCGCUUGAAGAGGAGUUCGCGGCAGAUUAGUUAGUUGGCGGGGUAAUGGCCCACCAAGACGAUGAUCUGUAUCCGGCCUGAGAGGGCGCACGGACACACUGGAACUGAAACACGGUCCAGACUCCUACGGGAGGCAGCAGUGGGGAAUUUUGCGCAAUGGGGGAAACCCUGGCGCAGCAACGCCGCGUGGAGGAUGAAAUCCCUUGGGAUGUAAACUCCUUUCGAUCGGGAAGAUAAUGACGGUACCGAGAGAAGAAGCCCCGGCUAACUUCGUGCCAGCAGCCGCGGUAAUACGAGGGGGGCAAGCGUUGUUCGGAAUUAUUGGGCGUAAAGGGUGCGUAGGCGGUUUGAUAAGUCACAUGUGAAAUCUUCGGGCUCAACCCGAAGUCUGCAUGCGAAACUGUCGGGCUUGAGUAUGGGAGAGGUGAGUGGAAUUUCCGGUGUAGCGGUGAAAUGCGUAGAUAUCGGAAGGAACACCUGUGGCGAAAGCGGCUCACUGGACCAUAACUGACGCUGAUGCACGAAAGCUAGGGGAGCAAACAGGAUUAGAUACCCUGGUAGUCCUAGCCCUAAACGAUGAUUGCUUUGAUGUGGUGGGUACCCAAUCCCGCCGUGUCGAAGCUAACGCGAUAAGCAAUC
RNAcentral lists this ribosomal RNA (779 nucleotides) under uncultured bacterium. RNAcentral describes it as "bacterial SSU rRNA". It matches the Rfam family "Bacterial small subunit ribosomal RNA", at positions 62 to 869 of the family's 1533-position model. The record is from RNAcentral.